UACGUAGGGUGCGAGCGUUAAUCGGAAUUACUGGGCGUAAAGUGUGCGCAGGCGGCCGCGCAAGUCGAGUGUGAAAGCCCCGGGCUUAACUUGGGAAUUGCGCUCGAAACUACGUGGCUGGAGUGUGGCAGAGGAAGGUGGAAUUCCAGGUGUAGCGGUGAAAUGCGUAGAUAUCAGGAGGAACACCGAUGGCGAAGGCAGGUCUCUGGGCUGACACUGACGCUCAUGCACGAAAGCGUGGGGAGCAAACAGG
This 253-nucleotide ribosomal RNA is filed under the name uncultured bacterium. RNAcentral describes it as "partial 16S ribosomal RNA". It matches the Rfam family "Bacterial small subunit ribosomal RNA", at positions 524 to 776 of the family's 1533-position model. The record is from RNAcentral.